Molecule: transfer RNA, 74 nt
Filed under: Coleofasciculaceae cyanobacterium SM2_1_6
Lineage: Bacteria; Bacillati; Cyanobacteriota; Cyanophyceae; Coleofasciculales; Coleofasciculaceae
Also listed under: 1 other name
Description: tRNA-Arg
Rfam family: tRNA
About the family: Transfer RNA (tRNA) molecules are approximately 80 nucleotides in length.
Source: RNAcentral
GGGUGCGUAGCUCAGUUGGAUAGAGCAACUGCCUUCUAAGCAGUCGGUCGUGAGUUCGAGUCUCGCCGCACCCG